This 506-nucleotide ribosomal RNA is filed under the name uncultured bacterium. RNAcentral describes it as "partial 16S ribosomal RNA". It matches the Rfam family "Bacterial small subunit ribosomal RNA", at positions 28 to 507 of the family's 1533-position model. The record is from RNAcentral.
GACGAACGCUGGCGGCGUGCUUAACACAUGCAAGUCGAACGGUGAAGGGACUGGUUUUGCUGGUCCUGGAUGAGUGGCGAACGGGUGAGUAACACGUGAGUAACCUGCCCCCUUCUUCUGGAUAACCGCAUGAAAGUGUGGCUAAUACGGGAUAUUCUGGGUCUGUCGCAUGGUGGGCCUGGGAAAGAUUGCGCCUUUUUUGGUGUUUUUGGUGGGGGAUGGGCUCGCGGCCUAUCAGCUUGUUGGUGGGGUGAUGGCCUACCAAGGCGGUGACGGGUAGCCGGCCUGAGAGGGUGGACGGUCACACUGGGACUGAGACACGGCCCAGACUCCUACGGGAGGCAGCAGUGGGGAAUAGUGCACAAUGGGCGCAAGCCUGAUGCAGCGACGCCGCGUGAGGGAUGGAGGCCUUCGGGUUGUGAACCUCUUUCGCCAGUGAAGCAGGCCUGCCUCUUUUUGUGGGUGGGUUGACGGUAGCUGGAUAAGAAGCGCCGGCUAACUACGUG